Molecule: ribosomal RNA, 313 nt
Filed under: uncultured bacterium
Lineage: Bacteria
Description: bacterial SSU rRNA
Rfam family: Bacterial small subunit ribosomal RNA
Source: RNAcentral
AAUGAACGCUGGCGGCGUGGUUAAGACAUGCAAGUCGAACGGUUUUUCAGGUGUAGCAAUACAUUUGAAGAGCAGUGGCGAACGGGCGCGUAACACGUGAGCAAUCUACCUUUUAGUGUGGAAUAGCUCGGCGAAAGCCGGAUUAAUACCGCAUGUGGUUGCCUCUCGCAUGAGAGACAUACUAAAGUCAGGGACCGCAAGGCCCGACGCUAUUAGAGGAGUUCGCGGCCUAUCAGCUAGUUGGCGAGGUAACGCUCACCAAGGCUAAGACGGGUANCUGAUCUGAGAGGAUGAUCAGCCACACUGGAACUGA